UCCCAGGUGGCUCAGUGUAAAGAAACUGCCUGCCAAUGCAGGAGACAUGGGUUCAAUUCCUGGCCUGGGAA
This 71-nucleotide transfer RNA is filed under the name Ovis aries (sheep). It matches the Rfam family "tRNA". From Rfam's summary of the family: Transfer RNA (tRNA) molecules are approximately 80 nucleotides in length. Their secondary structure includes four short double-helical elements and three loops (D, anti-codon, and T loops). Lineage: Eukaryota; Metazoa; Chordata; Mammalia; Artiodactyla; Bovidae. The record is from Rfam by way of RNAcentral.